GUAUGUGACAGUGAUCUGGAGGGGACAUCUGCCACCUCAUUGACUGUCAGGAUUGACCUGGUUGAUCUGUCUGGCUAGGUGGGUGUCCCCUCCUUCUUCACAGCUCCAUAUGUGUCCCUCCCGAGGCUGCACGGUUGGUCCAGGAGGACAAACUUCUCCAGCAGAUUUCCCUCCAUAGAAGACCAUGCUUGGGCCAAGGGCACACAAGGAGAUACACUCUCCGUCAAACCUUCAAACAAGCUUUCGAGGUUCACAAGGGAACGAGGCAGGGCUGAAGGGAGAGCUGG
This is an unclassified non-coding RNA of Mesocricetus auratus (golden hamster), 287 nucleotides long. Its record names the gene 7SK. It matches the Rfam family "7SK RNA". Rfam says of the family: 7SK was discovered as an abundant small nuclear RNA in the mid-70s but a possible function has only recently been suggested. Two independent studies have found that 7SK RNA binds the CDK9/cyclin T complex (known as elongation factor P-TEFb). Lineage: Eukaryota; Metazoa; Chordata; Mammalia; Rodentia; Cricetidae. The record is from Ensembl.